Molecule: ribosomal RNA, 253 nt
Filed under: uncultured bacterium
Lineage: Bacteria
Description: partial 16S ribosomal RNA
Rfam family: Bacterial small subunit ribosomal RNA
Source: RNAcentral
UACGGAGGGAGCUAGCGUUGUUCGGAAUUACUGGGCGUAAAGCGCACGUAGGCGGCUUUGUAAGUUAGAGGUGAAAGCCCGGGGCUCAACUCCGGAAUUGCCUUUAAGACUGCAUCGCUUGAAUCCGGGAGAGGUGAGUGGAAUUCCGAGUGUAGAGGUGAAAUUCGUAGAUAUUCGCAAGAACACCAGUGGCGAAGGCGGCUCACUGGCCCGGUACUGACGCUGAGGUGCGAAAGCGUGGGGAGCAAACAGG